Molecule: non-coding RNA, 109 nt
Filed under: bovine gut metagenome
Description: SAM riboswitch (S box leader)
Rfam family: SAM riboswitch aptamer (S box leader)
About the family: The SAM riboswitch is found upstream of a number of genes which code for proteins involved in methionine or cysteine biosynthesis in Gram-positive bacteria. The SAM riboswitch acts at the level of transcription termination control.
Source: RNAcentral
CUUAUCCAGAGCGGCUGAGGGACAGGCCCGAUGAAGCCCGGCAACCGGUCGGCGUGCCGACAAGGUGCCAAUUCCUGCGACGGGACGCGCGUUCCGUCGAAAGAUGAGG